GCCGCCAUAGGUCAGUGGCAGACCGCCCGUUUCGUAAUCGGGAUGCCGAGGUUCGAUUCCUCGUGGCGGCA
RNAcentral lists this transfer RNA (71 nucleotides) under Microbacterium sp. zg.Y818. RNAcentral's name for it is "tRNA-Thr". It matches the Rfam family "tRNA". Rfam says of the family: Transfer RNA (tRNA) molecules are approximately 80 nucleotides in length. Their secondary structure includes four short double-helical elements and three loops (D, anti-codon, and T loops). RNAcentral also lists the same sequence under 1 other name. Lineage: Bacteria; Bacillati; Actinomycetota; Actinomycetes; Micrococcales; Microbacteriaceae. The record is from RNAcentral.